This is a long non-coding RNA of Lathyrus oleraceus (garden pea), 1268 nucleotides long. RefSeq lists it as uncharacterized. Lineage: Eukaryota; Viridiplantae; Streptophyta; Magnoliopsida; Fabales; Fabaceae. The transcript has 3 exons. The record is from RefSeq and is a predicted model, not a curated record.
ACCCGGCUUUUAUUGACUAAUGAAGGAGGAUGGAGCAAUGCAGAAACAGAAACUCCAUGAGAAGGAACGCGGCCACGCGAUUUGGACUCCUCGUCGUCGUAAUAUCUCCAAGAAGCAAUGCAGUCGCCGGCGACGUAUUCUUUGAAUUCAUCACCAUUGUAUCUCUUUGAAGACCGACCUCUCGUUUCCACAGCACCGCCGCAUAUUCAAUCGUCUGUCAUCAGACAUCGCAUUUGGAUUUGCAUCGCAGAGCUCUCCACCAUGGAUUCACCGUCUUCACGUCUUGGAAUUGUGUGAUCCGUCGACUUCAAACAAGAAUUCGAUUCACCAACUCAACGAUUCAACGCUUCAAUCGUCGAGUUUUGCGAAAAAAGGACAAACAGCGUCAAAAAAAUGGAUCCGAGAUGUACCAGAUUGAUGCCUUAAUGGUGAAUAGUGAGCGAUUGCACCUGUGUUGCGAGGUUGCAGUGUGAAUUCCUUCAAUGCAGGGUCGACUCCUCUGAUGCGGAAUCGAAAUCUUUGAUGCGAAAUUUGAAGCAGUGUUGGUUGAUGCAUGUAGAUUACAACCCUAAGUUUGCAGAGUUUAGUGUGAAAGCAGAACGAAUGAGAUUGGGAGAUGCUUGGUGUAGAGUGAAGUGAUUGCAGCAGGGAAAAAUUUGCAGAAUGAAGAAGAAGAAAACUGUGGACUGAAGAUAGGUGCUUUCACUUGUGUUCAGCUCCACCAUGGAUCGAAUCUAUCCGGCUGACUACAUGAUCAAUCAUUAUUAUACCUUCCAGCACGUCUUGUCGCUCGAACAUGAUACCGCCUAUUAGAUGAAGCAUAGCGCUCACGGACAGCAUGGUACAUGUAAUUGUCCAACUCCCUUCCUUGGAACCUUGCUAGCAAGUAGAAAUGGUGGUACGUACAUAAGGGUCUAAUACAGGAUCUGGUUAACAAGGCACAAGCAGCAAGUCCAAUUCCUAUUACUGAUGAGAUCUUCUUCUCUAAAACAAGUGAUAAUUUAGUUAUAACUUGGAGUGAGUGGUGUAAUGUGAUGUUGAUUUGAAUGUGGUGUAUGUAAUUGUAAUGAUGAAAUGAACUAUUAUAUUGUGAUUUAGAAUUUGAAAUGGUCUUGUAGUCUUGGACUAGUGAAAUGGGUUUAUGGCACAAGUCAAAAGUUAACUGAAUUGAUUUUGGGUUUUGUUGUAAUAGUGUAAUGAGAUUAGAUUGUAGGAAUGAAUGUAGUUGACUUGGGAAUUUAUUGUAAUUUGUGUAUGUGACUUUUGAA